ACACUAAACCUGAGACACGAGACGAGUCACUACGGUGAUGAAGUUGCUGAUGCCAUACUUCCAGGAAAAGCCUCUAAGCUUCAGAUUAUAUGGAAUCGUACCCCAAACCGACACAGGUGGUCAGGUAGAGAAUACUAAGGCGCUUGAGAGAACUCGGGUGAAGGAACUAGGCAAAAUCGUACCGUAACUUCGGGAGAAGGUACGCUCCUAUCUGUGAUGAGACUUGCUCUCUAAGCGGACGGGAGCCGCAGUGACCAGGUGGCUGGGACUGUUUAUUAAAAACACAGCACUGUGCAAAAUCGCAAGAUGACGUAUACGGUGUGACACCUGCCCGGUGCCGGAAGGUUAAUUGAUGGGGUUAUCCUUAGGGAGAAGCUCUUGAUCGAAGCCCCGGUAAACGGCGGCCGUAACUAUAACGGUCCUAAGGUAGCGAAAUUCCUUGUCGGGUAAGUUCCGACCUGCACGAAUGGUGUAACCAUGGCCACGCUGUCUCCACCCGAGACUCAGUGAAAUUGAAAUCGCAGUGAAGAUGCUGUGUACCCGCGGCUAGACGGAAAGACCCCGUGAACCUUUACUACAGCUUGGCACUGAACAUUGAACCUACAUGUGUAGGAUAGGUGGGAGACUUUGAAGCAGCGACGCUAGUUGUUGUGGAGUCAACCUUGAAAUACCACCCUUGUAGUUUUGAUGUUCUAACGUUGGCCCCUGAAUCGGGGUUACGGACAGUGCCUGGUGGGUAGUUUGACUGGGGCGGUCUCCUCCUAAAGAGUAACGGAGGAGCACGAAGGUUGGCUAAGUACGGUCGGACAUCGUACGGUUAGUGUAAUGGUAGAAGCCAGCUUAACUGCGAGACAGACACGUCGAGCAGGUACGAAAGUAGGUCAUAGUGAUCCGGUGGUUCUGAAUGGAAGGGCCAUCGCUCAACGGAUAAAAGGUACUCCGGGGAUAACAGGCUGAUACCGCCCAAGAGUUCAUAUCGACGGCGGUGUUUGGCACCUCGAUGUCGGCUCAUCACAUCCUGGGGCUGAAGUCGGUCCCAAGGGUAUGGCUGUUCGCCAUUUAAAGUGGUACGCGAGCUGGGUUUAGAACGUCGUGAGACAGUUCGGUCCCUAUCUGCCGUGGGCGUUUGAGAAUUGAGAGGGGUUGCUCCUAGUACGAGAGGACCGGAGUGAACGAACCGCUGGUGUUCGGGUUGUCAUGCCAAUGGCAUUGCCCGGUAGCUACGUUCGGAACUGAUAAGCGCUGAAAGCAUCUAAGCGCGAAGCAGGCCUCGAGAUGAGUUCUCACUAGACUUUUAAAGUCUCUGAAGGGCCGUUGAAGACUACAACGUUGAUAGGCAAGAUGUGGAAGUGGUGUGAGCCAUUAAGCUAACUUGUACUAAUUACCCGUGAGGCUUAACCAU
This 1402-nucleotide ribosomal RNA is filed under the name Pseudoalteromonas sp. NZS11_1. RNAcentral describes it as "partial 23S ribosomal RNA". It matches the Rfam family "Bacterial large subunit ribosomal RNA", at positions 1547 to 2925 of the family's 2925-position model. Lineage: Bacteria; Pseudomonadati; Pseudomonadota; Gammaproteobacteria; Alteromonadales; Pseudoalteromonadaceae. The record is from RNAcentral.